GCAUAGCCUAUAAGAGAAAAAACCGUGGUGUUUCCUGCAGGUGCGAUCAUACCAGCACUAA
Molecule: ribosomal RNA, 61 nt
Filed under: Mentha x dalmatica
Lineage: Eukaryota; Viridiplantae; Streptophyta; Magnoliopsida; Lamiales; Lamiaceae
Source: RNAcentral